GUGCUUGCUUUGGCAGCACAUAUAUAAAAAUUGGAAGAAUGCAGAGAUUAGCAUGGCCCCUCAACAAGGAUGACACAAAAAUCCAUGAAGCGUUCCAUUAAUUA
Macaca fascicularis (crab-eating macaque) is the source of this 104-nucleotide small nuclear RNA. NCBI's taxonomy places the organism in Eukaryota, Metazoa, Chordata, Mammalia, Primates, Cercopithecidae. The record is from Ensembl.